RNAcentral lists this long non-coding RNA (1410 nucleotides) under Homo sapiens (human). RNAcentral's name for it is "HSALNT0257868". Lineage: Eukaryota; Metazoa; Chordata; Mammalia; Primates; Hominidae. The record is from RNAcentral.
GGUACCAAUAUGUUUGGUAGAAUUCAGCUGUGAAUCCAUCUGGCCCUGGGCUUUUGUUGUCGUUGGCUUUUUAAAACUACCGAUUCAAUCUCAUUGCUUCUUAUUAAUCUUUUCAAGGCCCGCACGUGGAUGGUGCUUUUCCUGGGGGGAUGCAGUCGCUCUGAAGUGUUCCAGAGAGGCUGUCUAUAGGUGCACCCACACCGCCUUCCAAUGGGAAAAGCCCCAGCGGUGUCUGCAGUGGUGGAUGCGGGGGAAAAAGCCUUCUUCUCCAAGCUCCUUCAUGAGCACCAGAACUGCCUGGCAGCUGGAGAGAGCUGCAGACUUUCCCUGCUGAGCCUCGCACUACAACUGACCUUCUGCUGAAAGACACUUCCCACCAGUGGAAUGAUCUGAGACUCAAGUCCUGCUGUCCAGUUCCUUUGUCCUAUGGAGGGUUCCUUUCAUGUGGUUCACUCCCUCUUCCCCUAGGAGUCGGAGUCUCUCAGAGCCAGGUUACUGCACAUGUUGUUGCUCCUCUGAGUCUAGCUGCCUUGUGUCGCUGCCACACUCCAGGCUGGUGCUGUGGAAUGUCUUCAAGGGAUCCAGUGAUGUAACCUAUCCUUAAGUCUCCCAGUAGUGGGAACCAGCACCAGCCCUGAUGGGGUUGGCAGGGGAGUGACAUAGACUCUGUGAGAUUCCUUGGUUAUAGAUAGCCUCUGUAUAUUGGCUUUCUCAAAUGCCAGUUGUGGUAGUAAUGAACAGAUCUCAUGGAUAUACUAGGGACCUCCUGGUUAGCCAGGAUGGUGCAGGCAAUGGUGAUAGCUGAGGUCAUGCCCAUGUUUUCUCCUUCCUGGACACCGUGUUAUUCUGCCUGGAGAUGUUGUAAUGGACAGUGUUCGUUGGUCUCCAGUCAGAAGGUGGCACUUGCAAGAAAGUGCCAGCGGCAGUAGUAGCUUAGGAGGUCAAGGCUGCAGUAAGCCAUGAUUUAGCCACUACACUUCAGCCUGUGCAACAAAGACAGACCCUGUCUCAAAUAAAAAUUCAAUUCAUGCAAACUUAACAAGGAUUUACACACACUAAAUGUUUAAUGAAUUGAGUGGUACAGGUUAAUUAACUUUUUAAGCCAUUUUAUGUGUAUAGACCAAAGAUCACAAAACUAUAUUCAACUGACCACAUUUGGUACACAGGUAUUAUUCUUCCCGGUACAAUGACUUUGUUUGAUUGAAAUAAACUUUUAUGUCCCAUGUCCUAGCCUCAAAAGUGUUCAACUCAUGACCAUCUAUACCCCCACCAACUGACCUACACCCAGAUUAUUUUUGAAGCAAAUCCCAAAUAUCAUACGAUUUUAUCUGUAACUAAAAACGUAUCUCUAAAAGAUAAGAAAUUUCUUAAAACCUGUAAUCACAAUAUUAUUUUAUACUUUAAAAAUCC